RNAcentral lists this non-coding RNA (45 nucleotides) under Schistosoma mattheei. Lineage: Eukaryota; Metazoa; Platyhelminthes; Trematoda; Strigeidida; Schistosomatidae. The record is from RNAcentral.
UUCCAGCUGACGAGUCUCAAAUAGGACGAAACCCGCAUACUGGAU